GACGAACGCUGGCGGCGUGCUUAACACAUGCAAGUCGAACGGAAAGGCCCUGCUUUUGUGGGGUGCUCGAGUGGCGAACGGGUGAGUAACACGUGAGUAACCUGCCCUUGACUUUGGGAUAACUUCAGGAAACUGGGGCUAAUACCGGAUAGGAGCUCCUGCUGCAUGGUGGGGGUUGGAAAGUUUCGGCGGUUGGGGAUGGACUCGCGGCUUAUCAGCUUGUUGGUGGGGUAGUGGCUUACCAAGGCUUUGACGGGUAGCCGGCCUGAGAGGGUGACCGGCACCAUUGGGACUGGGUUCCGGCCCGGCCUCCUCCGGGAGCCAGAGGGGGGGAUUAUUCACCAUUGGGCGGAAGCCUGUUGAAGAACCGCCGCGUGCGGGAUGACGGCCUUCGGGUGGUAACCCGCUUUGGCCUGUGCCGAAGCGUGAGUGACGGUAAUGGGUAAGAAAGCACCGGCUACCUACGUG
This 468-nucleotide ribosomal RNA is filed under the name uncultured bacterium. Its description in RNAcentral is "partial 16S ribosomal RNA". It matches the Rfam family "Bacterial small subunit ribosomal RNA", at positions 28 to 507 of the family's 1533-position model. The record is from RNAcentral.